Eriocheir sinensis (Chinese mitten crab) is the source of this 2417-nucleotide RNA transcript. It is a transcript of the gene named ral GTPase-activating protein subunit alpha-2-like, with no coding region annotated. The record is from RefSeq and is a predicted model, not a curated record. The transcript is spliced from 13 exons. NCBI's taxonomy places the organism in Eukaryota, Metazoa, Arthropoda, Malacostraca, Decapoda, Varunidae.
GGGAAGGGGUGCGCAAGAGGGAGGAGAGGAGGAGAACAGUUGUCAGUCAAGGAGGGAACCCGGCGUGUGAAGGCUGUGGGGACGGUGUGGAGGCAGCGGAGACACUUGUCGUUCAGGUGACGGUUACGGAAACGAGGACUUGCGCACUCCCUCCCCUUUAAUUGCCAUCAUCAGGCUCCGAGUCGCCCUCCGUGAACGACUCGCUGAUGGGGACAGAGCUGGGCGGAAACACAGCCGGCAUCGAUGCCCUGGAGGGAGGACUGUCAUCGGAGCAGGGUUCGGUGAUGUGUGGUGGUGGCACGGUGCGGCGGUGGUGCUGUGGUGGCGAGUGCUGGGCCUCCUCAGGGACCCCAGUGACGUGGCCUCCCCCCAGAACCUCGCCCAGAUCUUGAAGCAUUUUUCAGAGCUCAUGGAGACACCGGUGAAGCUGAGCAACAAUUACCAGAGCAUCUCCCCGGACACUCAAAGCAGCCCGGAGCCGCCAGAGCUCAUCCUGCCCCACACACAUGGUGGCUCCUUGCUGCUUCAGGGAGGUGGUCAACGCGCUGGUGGCCGAGUGUGGGCCUGCAACUGGCUUCUUCUCGCUGGGUCUGCCGGGGUCGUCAGUACCCACCCUGGACUCCAUCUUUGCCACCAGCACCGUCACCACCUCCACCGAUGCCAAAGUUCAAUCACCUAAAAUGGAAGCCCUAGGUCUCUGCUUGGGUCCCUGCUGCCGCUGUGGUCACUCUCCCCGCCCCUGCCCGUGCUGCAGCCCUCGGCCUGUGACCUCACCCUCAUGAACUGCUCCGACGUGAAGGAUCACUUGGUGAACGUACUGCUGAAAAGUGGAAAGUGUGACGGGUGGUGGCGGACAAGAUCGUUGGCCCACUCCACCUUGGCCAUCCACUUCUACCACGAGUUGGCCCACCAGACACUCCACACCAAGGUUAACAAGGCCAUCAUUGUGCUCCAGGCAUACCUCAAGGUGUCAGUGUGCUCCAUCCUGUGUCCCAGCAAAGGUUCUAAUUCCACCUCUCCAUCUGGUUCUCUGUCAGGUGUUAGUGUGCUCCAUCCUGCCCCAGCAAAGAUAAGAGACUUCCAGCGCUGGGCCCGGCCGCUGCAAGCCUUGUUGGGUCAGUGUGUGGGAAGUCACCAAGGUGGAGUUUGAGGCGGUCGGCCUCAACCAUGAGGGCUGUGUGAGCGGCAGGCUGGCCGUGAGCCUUCCAGGGAGUGCUGGGCAGCCUGGUGCCCCGGCUGAAGGCAAGCGGCCACCCUUAGACACCCAAAGACUGGCUGACACAAGAUCUUGUGCUGGUACUGGUGGCUGCCGUGGUGCGGACACAGGCUCAGAGCGCCCAGGUGGACCAAGGCUCUGAUGCUGGUUGCCACCUGCCUGGGAGCAGACUCACAGAGGUCAGCGCAGGGCAGCAGGACAGCGCCCUCAGCAGUGACGAGGAGUCUCUCCAUGAAAGCUGUCCCUCAAGGCACAGCAGCAGGCCACCGUCGUCCCUUGUUAUCGGGAGCACCGAGUAUUCCGAGGAACACUUCAAUGUCCAGGUGUGAUGAUGUCAAGCCACCACAAGCCAGGAGGGAAGUGGCUGCUGGGGCCAAGACAGCAGGUGAAGCAGAACCCUUAAGCCUCAGCUCUUCACCCCUGGACGAAGGUGUUUCUUGGCGGACAAACUCAGGAGAGUCACCAGAAAAGACCUCGGUAGAUGAUGCAAGUUUUGCUCGCUGGAGACCACAAGAGCAUUCACCCGUGCCUCAUAUCGUGGGUGAGGAGAGCAGCCUGGACCAUCUCCCAAGAGCAAAGGAGACAAUCAUGAAAACAAAGCCCACUACUCACUGCUCCUGAAUAGAGGUCAAAGGAGUGGCCAAAAAGAGAGGUCAGUCUCGGGAGAAGAGGUGUCCAGAUACCAUCCUCUUGAAAGAGUUCAAGUCGUAAGCAGGAGGAAAUACAGAUGAAUGAAGAUUGUUCCAGAGUUUACCGGCGUGAGGAUGAAAGGUGAAGAUGCUGGUUAACUCUUGCAUAAGUGGUUUGGACAGUAUAGGGGUGAGCUUGAUUAGAAAGUCGUGUGAGGCGAGGCCGCGGGAGGGGGGGGGGGAGGCAUGCAGUUAGCAUGUUCAGAAGAGCAAUCAGCGUGAAAAUAUCGAUAGAAGAUAGAAAGCGAGGCAAUUUAUUCACAUGUGGCCAUAGUAGUAGAAGAAGCAGUUGAAGUGGCAGUAGUAGUAGCAGCAGUAGUUGUAGUAGUAGUAGUAGUAGUAGUAGUAGUAGUAGUAGUAGUAGUAGUAGUAGCAGCAGCAGAAAUAGCAGUAAUGAUUUAAGUAGGGGUACAGUGAAAGCAUUUUAGCAAGUCCGUUGAGGCGUUGGCUUCCUUGGGUCCUGUCCUCCCCUCCGCUCUGCCACACAGUCCCAGCACCUGUCCCUUCCUCUC